AUACGUAGGUGACAAGCGUUAUCCGGAUUUACUGGGCGUAAAGGGCGUGUAGGCGGUCUUGCAAGUCAGAAGUGAAAUUCCUGAGCUCAACUCGGGCGCUGCUUCUGAAACUGCAGGACUUGAGUGCUGGAGGGGAUAGCGGAAUUCCCGGUGUAGCGGUGAAAUGCGUAGAGAUCGGGAGGAACACCAGUGGCGAAGGCGGGUAACUGGACUGCAACUGACGCUGAGGCGCGAAAGUGUGGGGAGCAAACAGGAUUAGAUACCCUGGUAGUCCACACUGUAAACGAUGAAUGCUAGGUGUAAGAGGUAUCGACCCCUUUUGUGCCGGAGUCAACACAAUAAGCAUUCCGCCUGGGGAGUACGGCCGCAAGGUUGAAACUCAAAGGAAUUGACGGGG
This 397-nucleotide ribosomal RNA is filed under the name uncultured bacterium. RNAcentral's name for it is "partial 16S ribosomal RNA". It matches the Rfam family "Bacterial small subunit ribosomal RNA", at positions 523 to 918 of the family's 1533-position model. The record is from RNAcentral.